Molecule: ribosomal RNA, 462 nt
Filed under: uncultured bacterium
Lineage: Bacteria
Description: partial 16S ribosomal RNA
Rfam family: Bacterial small subunit ribosomal RNA
Source: RNAcentral
CCUACGGGAGGCAGCAGUGAGGAAUAUUGGGCAAUGGCCGGAAGGCUGAAGCAGCCAAGCCGCGUGAGGGAGGAAGGCGCAGAGCGUCGCAGACCUCUUUUGCCGGGGGACAAAAGGCCGGACUCGUCCGGUCCUGAGGGUACCCGGAGAAAAAGCAUCGGCUAACUCCGUGCCAUCAGCCGCGGUCAUACGUAGGGUCCGAGCAUUAUCCGGAGUGACUGGGUGCAAAGAGUUGCGUACGUGGGUUAGUUAGUAGCUAGUGAAAUCUGGUGGGUCAACCAUUCAGACGAUUAGCUAAACUGGUAAGCGUGAGACCGUUAGGGGUAACUGGAAUUUCUAGUGUAGGAGUGAAAUCCGUAGAGAUUAGAAGGAACACCGAUAGCGUAGGCAGGUUACUGGGACGGUUCUGACACUAAGGCACGAAAGCGUAGGGAGCAAACGGGAUUAGAUACCCUGGUAGUC